UACAGAGGAUGCAAGCGUUAUCCGGAAUUAUUGGGCGUAAAGCGUCUGUAGGUGGCUUUUUAAGUCCGCCGUCAAAUCCCAGGGCUCAACUCUGGACAGGCGGUGGAAACUACCAAGCUGGAGUACGGGAGGGGCAGAGGGAAUUUCCGGUGGAGCGGUGAAAUGCGUAGAGAUCGGAAAGAACACCAACGGCGAAAGCACUCUGCUGGGCCGACACUGACACUGAGGAGCGACAGCGUGGGGAGCAAACAGG
This 253-nucleotide ribosomal RNA is filed under the name uncultured bacterium. RNAcentral's name for it is "partial 16S ribosomal RNA". It matches the Rfam family "Bacterial small subunit ribosomal RNA", at positions 524 to 776 of the family's 1533-position model. The record is from RNAcentral.